AGGAAACGCUGUACAAUGUAGAAAAAUACAAAAUUGAAAACAUAUACUAGCACAGUGAUCAGAAUAAUUUAACAUCUACACCCAUCCCUCCCCAUCCCUUUCGAAUCGCGAACCCUGCUCCUUGAGCAUGUACAGAAACUGACAUGGACAAUAUCUAAUAUUCUAAUAUUUUCUCUUCUUUUCUAACAUGUUUGACACAUUCAGCCACGAUAUGGUUCAAUGCUACUUCGUCUACUCCGCAUCGCCUAGUAAUUCCAUUUUCAGAACAAAAACGACUUACGGAAAGAAAAGACAAAGAAAAACAAAAGUCAGAUAGAUAGACAGAUAGCAAGAUAUAUACAAUGAAUGACAGAUUGAUAGAUCGAAAGAUAGAUAUAAACACGUAGCUACAAAGACAGCUAUAUACAUUGUAUAUAGAUAAAAAGAAAGAAUGAUUCUUUGUGGUCAUUAUCGUACUUGUCAGUGUACCAUUCUUGUUCGGAAUUUGUUGAUACCACACAUAGUUCACACACACACACACAAACACACCUUAAAAAGAUCUUCAAGACAUAUUGCGCUUAAAACAAGACAAAAAAAAAAAAACGGAAAUAGUAAAACAUUUAAUAAAAAGGG
RNAcentral lists this long non-coding RNA (612 nucleotides) under Mytilus galloprovincialis (Mediterranean mussel). The record is from RNAcentral. Lineage: Eukaryota; Metazoa; Mollusca; Bivalvia; Mytilida; Mytilidae.